Molecule: unclassified non-coding RNA, 292 nt
Filed under: Hevea brasiliensis (rubber tree)
Lineage: Eukaryota; Viridiplantae; Streptophyta; Magnoliopsida; Malpighiales; Euphorbiaceae
Source: RNAcentral
UCUCUCUCUCUCUCUCUCACUGAAGGUUUUUGUUAUAAACAUAGUGAAUUUUAGCUUCGUUGUCCUAAGAUGCUUGCAUGUUUAUUUGUCACUGAUAUUUUGUUUAAUCAUUGUUAAUAGUCGAAUAUGAUUCAUGAUAAUCCAAGCUUUGCAUGUAUAAGAGUGCAGUCUUAUUCUUUAGACAUAUAUAUACUACUUCAAAGGGACUUUAGAUUAAAGAUUGUUGUCUGGGAUUUUUCAGAGUUUCUUUGUUGUCCUAGUUUCUGCCAAGAACUUUUUCAAUGAGAACUAG